Molecule: ribosomal RNA, 221 nt
Filed under: Shigella flexneri
Lineage: Bacteria; Pseudomonadati; Pseudomonadota; Gammaproteobacteria; Enterobacterales; Enterobacteriaceae
Description: partial 23S ribosomal RNA
Rfam family: Bacterial large subunit ribosomal RNA
Source: RNAcentral
UCCUAAAGAGUAACGGAGGAGCACGAAGGUUGGCUAAUCCUGGUCGGACAUCAGGAGGUUAGUGCAAUGGCAUAAGCCAGCUUGACUGCGAGCGUGACGGCGCGAGCAGGGGCGAAAGCAGGUCAUAGUGAUCCGGUGGUUCUGAAUGGAAGGGCCAUCGCUCAACGGAUAAAAGGUACUCCGGGGAUAACAGGCUGAUACCGCCCAAGAGUUCAUAUCGA